Fukomys damarensis (Damara mole-rat) is the source of this 106-nucleotide small nuclear RNA. The record is from Ensembl. Lineage: Eukaryota; Metazoa; Chordata; Mammalia; Rodentia; Bathyergidae.
GUGCUCAUUUCAGCACACAUACACUAAAAUUGGAACAAUACAGAGAAGAUUAGUGAGGCCUCUGUGCAAGGAGGACACAUAGUUUCAUUAAUUGUUCCAUUACAAA